This is a long non-coding RNA of Dipodomys spectabilis (banner-tailed kangaroo rat), 96 nucleotides long. RefSeq lists it as uncharacterized. The record is from RefSeq and is a predicted model, not a curated record. The transcript is spliced from 3 exons. Lineage: Eukaryota; Metazoa; Chordata; Mammalia; Rodentia; Heteromyidae.
AUGCAUGAGGCCCCCCCAAAGUCCCCACCCAGCAACUGUAACCCAGGUAACUGGCACACCUGGGGGUGGUGGGAGGUCCCCCAGGUUCUGAAGUCA